RNAcentral lists this ribosomal RNA (236 nucleotides) under uncultured bacterium. RNAcentral describes it as "partial 16S ribosomal RNA". It matches the Rfam family "Bacterial small subunit ribosomal RNA", at positions 96 to 334 of the family's 1533-position model. The record is from RNAcentral.
CGGCGGACGGGUGAGUAACGCGUGGGUAACCUGCCUCAUACAGGGGGAUAACAGUUAGAAAUGACUGCUAAUACCGCAUAAGACCACAGCACCGCAUGGUGCGGGGUAAAACUCCGGUGGUAUGAGAUGGACCCGCGUCUGAUUAGCUAGUUGGUAAGGUAACGGCUUACCAAGGCGACGAUCAGUAGCCGACCUGAGAGGGUGACCGGCCACAUUGGGACUGAGACACGGCCCAA